CUGCAUGUCAUCUGAGGGCUGCAGCUUGCUCCAUAGCUACAGCGUCUCCAACAGCAUGCUAAAAAAACCUGAGGGGCUUUGACAGCUUGGGUCACUGAUUUCCCAUGCAGUCACUCUACCCUCCUACAACA
This is a small nucleolar RNA of Bombina bombina (fire-bellied toad), 131 nucleotides long. RefSeq annotates it as small nucleolar RNA SNORA44. Lineage: Eukaryota; Metazoa; Chordata; Amphibia; Anura; Bombinatoridae. The record is from RefSeq and is a predicted model, not a curated record. The transcript has a single exon.